This 410-nucleotide ribosomal RNA is filed under the name Stutzerimonas stutzeri. RNAcentral describes it as "bacterial SSU rRNA". It matches the Rfam family "Bacterial small subunit ribosomal RNA", at positions 62 to 476 of the family's 1533-position model. Lineage: Bacteria; Pseudomonadati; Pseudomonadota; Gammaproteobacteria; Pseudomonadales; Pseudomonadaceae. The record is from RNAcentral.
UCGAGCGGAUGAGUGGAGCUUGCUCCAUGAUUCAGCGGCGGACGGGUGAGUAAUGCCUAGGAAUCUGCCUGGUAGUGGGGGACAACGUUUCGAAAGGAACGCUAAUACCGCAUACGUCCUACGGGAGAAAGUGGGGGAUCUUCGGACCUCACGCUAUCAGAUGAGCCUAGGUCGGAUUAGCUAGUUGGUGGGGUAAAGGCUCACCAAGGCGACGAUCCGUAACUGGUCUGAGAGGAUGAUCAGUCACACUGGAACUGAGACACGGUCCAGACUCCUACGGGAGGCAGCAGUGGGGAAUAUUGGACAAUGGGCGAAAGCCUGAUCCAGCCAUGCCGCGUGUGUGAAGAAGGUCUUCGGAUUGUAAAGCACUUUAAGUUGGGAGGAAGGGCAGUAAGUUAAUACCUUGCUGU